AUUGAACGCUGGCGGCAUGCUUUACACAUGCAAGUCGAACGGCAGCACGGGUGCUUGCACCUGGUGGCGAGUGGCGGACGGGUGAGUAAUGCAUCGGAACGUGUCCUGAAGUGGGGGAUAACGCAUCGAAAGAUGUGCUAAUACCGCAUAUUCUCUGAGGAGGAAAGUAGGGGAUCGAAAGACCUUAUGCUUUUGGAGCGGCCGAUGUCUGAUUAGCUAGUUGGUAGGGUAAUGGCUUACCAAGGCGACGAUCAGUAGUUGGUCUGAGAGGACGGCCAGCCACACUGGGACUGAGACACGGCCCAGACUCCUACGGGAGGCAGCAGUGGGGAAUUUUGGACAAUGGGCGCAAGCCUGAUCCAGCAAUGCCGCGUGAGUGAAGAAGGCCUCGGUU
Molecule: ribosomal RNA, 394 nt
Filed under: uncultured bacterium
Lineage: Bacteria
Description: bacterial SSU rRNA
Rfam family: Bacterial small subunit ribosomal RNA
Source: RNAcentral